AGAUAGAGAAAGAAACGGACAGAGAGCAAAAAAAAAAAAUAUAUAUAUAUAUAUAUAUAUAUAUAUAUAUAUAUAUAUAUCAUCUUCUUCAUUUUUGUACUGACCUAUAACCACCACCACCCCAUUUGACAUUCCACCAGCCCAUCUCUUUAUCACCAUUAAACUACCACCUAUUAAACCACCACCUUCACCUAGACACCUACACUAUAUAGUCAGCCGCCACUUCCAUUUCCACACUACACCUAGAAACACCACCACGGACAGCAACCAUAAGCUCACCCAAAACCCCCAUAAACCAGCUUUGAAAGGUUUUGUUUGCCUGAGUUUCUUCUAUUUUGCGACACAUAUUGAGUUUUGUGUUUGAACCACGGGUCAAGGUUUCCGGUCAUCGGCUCUGGUAGAUGUCAAAUCUCAUCGAAGAUAUUUGAAUUUCUCUAUUUUCAUAAUACAUAGCAGAGUUGUAACAACAUCUCAGCAAUAAAGACCCGACUCUUUCAUGGAUCCGAAUGUUCACCCGGGGCCCGCUGUUCACCCAGGGCCCGAUGAUAGAUCAGUACUUUCUUUGGAAGACACUUAUAGGUGAGUUAUUAUGGAUUGGUGCUAUAUGAAUAGCGACUAGGCUCCGUCCCCAUAGCUGCAGAAAACGUGGGCUCUUUUACUCGAGCGCCCCCCAUACUCUCGCGUCUUAGAAAUAUUUUUUUGGGGCGGUAUCUAUCGUUGCGUAUCCGUUGGUCGGGUACAGCAUGGUUGGGCGCACAUUACGGCCAUGGUUGAGCAGUGAAGGCCGGAGACACAUACCUUCCAUUUUCGCACUGGUGAGGCCACGAUUACACUUCAAGAUCUGGAGGUCCUGUUUGGAUUGUGGGUAGAUGGAGAGCCAUUAUACAGUCGGUAUGAGCCUCCUCUUGGUAGGACAUGGGUGGCGGAAUUGACUAGGCUCACCCACUUCGUGCUUGGUGCCGCGGCCUACGUCUCGGGAUUGAGUUGGGUGCAGAUUAGUGCACUCUGCACUUAUUUGCUCGCAGAGCCUCCUAUUGAGGACGACACUCAGCAGGACGUUAUUGAUCGUCAUGCCCGUUCGUAUCUGCUUAUUAUAUUCGGGGGCAUCUUGUUCCUGAACACAUCGGAUGCCUACGUCAACUUACGAUAUUUGGUUUUCUUGGAGCAUCUGGACUGCUUGGGAGACUACAGCUGGGACAGUGCUGUUUUGGCGUACCUCUACCGAUGCCUAUGCCGAGCGUCUAUUAGCCGUAUUAGCGAUAUGUGUAGAUUUUUUGCUCGUCUCUAGUUAUGGGCGUGGGAGAGGAUGCUGCUUUUUCAGCCCGUACCUAGACAUCACCUCAGUAUUGACAUGCCCCACGAAGAGGUGGAUAACAGGUUUUGAUCGGGAUAUGGAUAUGCACCACAGUAUUCUUUCAUUCCGGGACCAGCUUGAUCAGAUGAUGGACGAUGCGCUAUUUAUAUGGGCGCCGCACGCUGCUAUUUUGGAUGGGUUGCCGGCCUUUUGCAGGAUAGGUCAGGCCGUAUGGAAGUCGCGGUGUCCAUUGAUACACCUAGAAAUCUUUGAGGAUCGCAUGCCCGAGCGCGUCUUAUGACAGUUUGGGCAUACACAGAAUACCCCCCCCCCCCCCGGUGUUCGUCAUGAGUUCCGACACUUCUAGCGGGACGAUCGAGUUGCCCUUGAUGAUGCAUUUCUGGCUUUCAUAGGCGUCCAACUCCAACAUUGGUAGGGGAGGUUGGGGACUUUAGCGGUAGUCGGUCAUGCGACUCCCGUCAUAGAUUACAUGCGCUAAUAUCAUGGGAUCACACACCAAUUGAUUGACAACCCAGAUUUGCGUCCUGCAAGGGAUGUAGGAUACGCAACACUCGCGGGGCAGUACAAGACAUUUGUAAGUUUAUCGCAUUUAGAUUUAUUUAAUUGUAUUAAUUAUUACGUUUUAAAAUAGCUAUUUUUUUACUGUUGAACACAAAUGCAACUGGUGGCCAUUUAACGAUUACGCAUAUUGGGGUUAGAGAAUAUGUUUUACCCCAGGGUUGCGGGGCUUGCAGCAGAGAUGGUACGGAUAUUCGAGGACGGUAUCCUCCAGACAGGAGAGUUUAGGCACAUGGAUGAUCCUGUUUCAGAGGGUGAGUAUCAGGCACGCGAGGAGGAUGACGUGGUGCUGCUAGAGGACUUAGUGGUGGAGGACACCAUCUGGUAGAUGAGGUAGAUGAGACCGUUUCCAUUCCAGAGGCCGUUCCCAUUCUAGUCCAUCCGCAGCCAUUCCAGGCCAGUGGCAGCUCAGUUGGACAGUCACCUACAUUUACGUCGGCGCGCCUACUUGCGGAGAUACCUGGGUCUUCAUCUCAAUCGAGCCAGAAUGCGUACAUGGAGGAGCGUGAUGACAUCGAUUAGGCAGCGUUUCGCGCAUCAUCAGAUGAUGAGCGGCCAGUGAGAAAUUUAGAGCGGCCAAUCACAUUAAAAUACUUAUUUGAUUAUUUAAAUUACUUAUAUAUAUAUAUAUAUAUAUAAAUUACUUAUAUAUAUAUGAUACUUAUUAUUCCGUAAUCUUUUAUAUUUUAGGAUUCGACGUUAGUGGGUCCACCAGAGCGACCCACUUAGCGUUUUCUCAUGGGCCUACCGAGCCAGAGGUGUCUUUUCAUAUGACUGUCGAGCCACAACUAAGCUUUUUAUUAAAAUUAAUUUUAUUCAAUAUAAGGAUUCAGCGCCAGUGAGUCCACAAGAGCGACCCACUCAGGCGUUUUCUCAUGGGCCUGCCGAGCCAGAGGUGUUUUUUCAUGAGACUGUCGAGCCACAGGUUCAUCUUUUGGAGCCUGCAGUGGCACUCCCGACGAGGAUGACGUCGCGUUUCCAGACCCAGCUCAGCUUGAUAUUCUGAGCAUACCAGCGGGACUAGAUCCCAAAAAGAAGCACGUUAUGCAGAAGGGCGCAAGGGCGAGGGAUGAUCAUGGCUUAGAGCGCCCUCUUAUUAAGAGGAAAGAGGGGGAUGAAGACGAUGGGGAGGGCGGUGGGAUGGUAUGAGCCUUAGGCCUAAGGAUAGUCUCAGGCAUAACACGUGUGGGAUCCAUCCACGAUAGUGUAUAUACAAUAGCAUUGUAUAAUUUAA
Lycium barbarum (goji berry) is the source of this 3107-nucleotide long non-coding RNA. RefSeq lists it as uncharacterized. The record is from RefSeq and is a predicted model, not a curated record. The transcript is spliced from 6 exons. NCBI's taxonomy places the organism in Eukaryota, Viridiplantae, Streptophyta, Magnoliopsida, Solanales, Solanaceae.